This 253-nucleotide ribosomal RNA is filed under the name uncultured bacterium. RNAcentral's name for it is "partial 16S ribosomal RNA". It matches the Rfam family "Bacterial small subunit ribosomal RNA", at positions 524 to 776 of the family's 1533-position model. The record is from RNAcentral.
UACGUAGGGUGCGAGCGUUGUCCGGAAUUAUUGGGCGUAAAGAGCUCGUAGGCGGUUUGUCGCGUCUGCUGUGAAAACUCGGCGCUUAACUCCGGGCCUGCAGUGGGUACGGGCAGACUAGAGUGCGGUAGGGGAGACUGGAAUUCCUGGUGUAGCGGUGAAAUGCGCAGAUAUCAGGAGGAACACCGGUGGCGAAGGCGGGUCUCUGGGCCGUAACUGACGCUGAGGAGCGAAAGCGUGGGGAGCGAACAGG